UGGGGAAUCUUGGACAAUGGGCGCAAGCCUGAUCCAGCCAUGCCGCGUGAGCGAUGAAGGCCUUAGGGUUGUAAAGCUCUUUCACCGGUGAAGAUAAUGACGGUAGCCGGAGAAGAAGUCCCGGCUAACUCCGUGCCAGCAGCCGCGGUAAUACGGAGGGGACUAGCGUUGUUCGGAAUUACUGGGCGUAAAGAGUUCGUAGGCGGACUAGCAAGUUAGAGGUGAAAUCCCAGGGCUCAACCUUGGAACUGCCUUUAAAACUGCUAGUCUAGAGACCGGAAGAGGUUAGGGGAAUACCUAGUGUAGAGGUGAAAUUCGUAGAUAUUAGGUGGAACACCAGUGGCGAAGGCGCCUAACUGGUCCGGUACUGACGCUGAGGAACGAAAGCGUGGGGAGCAAACAGGAUUAGAUACCC
Molecule: ribosomal RNA, 415 nt
Filed under: uncultured bacterium
Lineage: Bacteria
Description: bacterial SSU rRNA
Rfam family: Bacterial small subunit ribosomal RNA
Source: RNAcentral